CUCAUCAAAACAACCGCUAUUUUGAUACUUUAAAGAUAAUGAGUUAUAAAGAGUUAAUUUUAAUAAAUGAAGCAUUUUUUAUUUGUUAAUAAAUAAACCAAUGCCGCGAGAAGGCGCUGUUGAGUUUGACAGAUGAAAACGCUUCCCUGGCUUGAACAUGCGCUUCGUGACAUGCCUGACGUUUUUACUAAUGUAUGCCAGUCUAUGUUCCGCAGUUGUGAAUCUUGUAUCUCUGUUAGUGAUCGCUCUUUCGAGCGGCUAUUGUAAACUGUUUGAUAAAUUGUUGCUUUCCUUUGUCUUUACUUGUCUUUGCAGUUACCUUUUGUUAAUACUGUUUUACAUGCUAACACUUCAACGCUGUAUUUUUGCACCCUACAUUCUUAUACGAAAUCUGCUUAUUUAGGUUCCCUCUGUCUUUUCAUUUCUGACAUAUAGUUUUGAAACACCC
RNAcentral lists this long non-coding RNA (448 nucleotides) under Androctonus crassicauda. The record is from RNAcentral. Lineage: Eukaryota; Metazoa; Arthropoda; Arachnida; Scorpiones; Buthidae.